Molecule: long non-coding RNA, 254 nt
Filed under: Zostera marina
Lineage: Eukaryota; Viridiplantae; Streptophyta; Magnoliopsida; Alismatales; Zosteraceae
Description: long non-coding RNA (ZMAR_LNC006112)
Source: RNAcentral
GGAGGCUCUGGAGUCCACGACGCGCGCUCUACGUCAAAUACCUGCAAGUAGAAACUAGGCGAUUCUAGUGAGAAUCGGCGAGUUUCUUAGUGAUGCUCUGGUGAGAGUGAAACUUGUGUUGUGCCUUUGAGUGUCCCCUUGGGACCCUUUUUAUAGGGUCUCGGAGGGCGUGAUCAAUGGCGGACAUCGCGCCUAUGGUCAUAUAUGGAAACAUUUAUGACGUUGGCUGACGGCGAGUAACGGUCGUAGGUCGG